Molecule: ribosomal RNA, 497 nt
Filed under: uncultured bacterium
Lineage: Bacteria
Description: partial 16S ribosomal RNA
Rfam family: Bacterial small subunit ribosomal RNA
Source: RNAcentral
GAUGAACGCUGGCGGCGUGCCUAAUACAUGCAAGUCGAGCGAACGGACGAGAAGCUUGCUUCUCUGAUGUUAGCGGCGGACGGGUGAGUAACACGUGGAUAACCUACCUAUAAGACUGGGAUAACUUCGGGAAACCGGAGCUAAUACCGGAUAAUAUUUUGAACCGCAUGGUUCAAAAGUGAAAGACGGUCUUGCUGUCACUUAUAGAUGGAUCCGCGCUGCAUUAGCUAGUUGGUAAGGUAACGGCUUACCAAGGCAACGAUGCAUAGCCGACCUGAGAGGGUGAUCGGCCACCCUGGAACUGAGCCACGGUCCAGACUCCUACGGGACGCAGCAGUAGGGAAUCUUCCGCAAUGGGCGAAAGCCUGACGGAGCAACGCCGCGUGAGUGAUGAAGGUCUUCGGAUCGUAAAACUCUGUUAUUAGGGAAGAACAUAUGUGUAAGUAACUGUGCACAUCUUGACGGUACCUAAUCAGAAAGCCACGGCUAACUACGUG